Molecule: ribosomal RNA, 466 nt
Filed under: uncultured bacterium
Lineage: Bacteria
Description: bacterial SSU rRNA
Rfam family: Bacterial small subunit ribosomal RNA
Source: RNAcentral
CAAGCGGUGGAGCAUGUGGUUUAAUUCGAUGCAACGCGAAGAACCUUACCUACUCUUGACAUCCAGAGAAUUUAGCAGAGAUGCUUUAGUGCCUUCGGGAACUCUGAGACAGGUGCUGCAUGGCUGUCGUCAGCUCGUGUUGUGAAAUGUUGGGUUAAGUCCCGCAACGAGCGCAACCCUUAUCCUUUGUUGCCAGCACGUAAUGGUGGGAACUCAAAGGAGACUGCCGGUGAUAAACCGGAGGAAGGUGGGGAUGACGUCAAGUCAUCAUGGCCCUUACGAGUAGGGCUACACACGUGCUACAAUGGCGCAUACAAAGAGAAGCGACCUCGCGAGAGCAAGCGGACCUCAUAAAGUGCGUCGUAGUCCGGAUUGGAGUCUGCAACUCGACUCCAUGAAGUCGGAAUCGCUAGUAAUCGUAAAUCAGAAUGUUACGGUGAAUACGUUCCCGGGCCUUGUACACACC